This 418-nucleotide ribosomal RNA is filed under the name Loboptera decipiens. RNAcentral's name for it is "partial 12S ribosomal RNA". The stretch from base 44 to 418 matches the Rfam family "Microsporidia small subunit ribosomal RNA", at positions 752 to 1270 of the family's 1311-position model. The record is from RNAcentral. Lineage: Eukaryota; Metazoa; Arthropoda; Insecta; Blattodea; Blattellidae.
GGAUUAGAUACCCUAUUAUUUUAGAUGUAAAGUAUUUAAACUUGAGUAGUAGUAGUUAAGGACUUGAAACUUAAAGAAUUUGGCGGUAUUUUAGUCUAUUUAGAGGAAUCUGUCCCGUAAUCGAUAAUCCGCGUUGGACCUUACUUAAUUUAUUAAAUAUGUAUACCGCCGUUGUUGAAAAUCUUUUUAGAGUUAGAUUUUCUUAAUAUUUAUUAGAGAAAUUUUCAGGUCAAGGUGCAGUUUAUAAUUAAGUGGAGAUGGAUUACAAUAUUUAAUAAUAUACGGAUUAUUAUUUGUAAUAUAUAGUAAUAUGAAGGUGGAUUUAAUAGUAAUGUUAUAAAGAUUAUUAAUGUGAUUUUAGCUCUAAAAUAUGUACACAUCGCCCGUCGCUCUCGUUAUGUUUCAGAUGAGAUAAGUC